CCUACGGGUGGCAGCAGUGAGGAAUAUUGGGCAAUGGACGCAAGUCUGAACCAGCAAUGCCGCGUGCAGGAAGACGGCUCUAUGAGUUGUAAACUGCUUUUGUACGAGGGUAAACGCAGAUACGCGUAUCUGUCUGAAAGUAUCGUACGAAUAAGGAUCGGCUAACUCCGUGCCAGCAGCCGCGGCAAUACGGAGGAUUCAAGCGUUAUCCGGAUUUAUUGGGUUUAAAGGGGGCGUAGGCGGUCGGAUAAGGUAGAGGUGAAAUCCCGAGGCUCAACUUCGGAAUUGCCUUUGAUACUGUUAGGCUAGAGAGUAGUUGAGGUAGGCGGAAUGCCUGGUGUAGCGGUGAAAUGCUUAGAGAUCAUACAGAACACCGAUUGCGAAGGCAGCUUACCAAGCUACAUCUGACGUUGAGGCACGAAAGCGUGGGGAGCAAACAGGAUUAGAUACCCCAGUAGUC
RNAcentral lists this ribosomal RNA (460 nucleotides) under uncultured bacterium. RNAcentral's name for it is "partial 16S ribosomal RNA". It matches the Rfam family "Bacterial small subunit ribosomal RNA", at positions 338 to 795 of the family's 1533-position model. The record is from RNAcentral.